Molecule: long non-coding RNA, 865 nt
Filed under: Bemisia tabaci
Lineage: Eukaryota; Metazoa; Arthropoda; Insecta; Hemiptera; Aleyrodidae
Description: lncRNA ENSSSA2NGG010659
Source: RNAcentral
AAUGACUGUGCUUUAAAUAGUGCUUGGGAGAGUUUACUCAGAGUCAUUAGAUUGAAGAUGAGCCAAAUUAAACACGACUGCACAGAAAUUUAAGUGGAAAGACAAUGUUAGGUACAAAGGUAUGAUGUUACAGGAACUAUGACUCAUCACACAGAACUUGACAGAACAUCACAUAAUGUAGAAACAUAGCUAACAUAAGUAGAAAUUCUCCAAAACUUUUGAAACAUCCUUUAUGAUGGUUGUCUUAGAUCUAAGAAAGAGUGUGCAAAUAAUUACUGCAAACUACACUGCUCGAAAACUUUCUCAGUGAAUUUUUUUUUAUCAACAUCAACUGAAGCAGGUUUUCAGGUUAUGUUUUGAUUUUCCUUUUUCAAGUGAUAACAAGAUAACCUAAAAAAAACAAAAAAAAGCAUGGCAUUGUUUACGUUACGAAGAACCCGUAUAAAAUUUUACAGUUUUAUUAUUUCGAUUAGUGGAUCAUUUCAAUUCCUUUGCAACUAUUGAGGCGCCGGUAUCAAAAGAAGAGGUACCAAAAGGAACAGCUCCUGAUGGAAAAUUAUUCUAAAGGUAAAAAUGUGGAAGAAGAGUGGAUCAAAGAGAAUAUUCCAAUACCAAACUUGCCAAAAGAUUUUUUAUGGAUGCAGGUGAAACCUAGCAGUAAAAUGAAUAAUUCACUUCCUGUCUUGAAGAAUCAAAGCAGAAAAGACAUUGUUUGGGGGAGACUGUCCUGCCAUCUCCAAGACCAUCAGCUGCGCUGAAAUAACAAACAAUGAAUGCUGGACUCUACCAAAUCAGUAAAAUUUGCUCCCAAGUAAGUAGUUUUCAUUAUAGCUUAUUUGGCUGAAUUCUCAUUGGAAAGCUUUCA